This 258-nucleotide unclassified non-coding RNA is filed under the name Hevea brasiliensis (rubber tree). Lineage: Eukaryota; Viridiplantae; Streptophyta; Magnoliopsida; Malpighiales; Euphorbiaceae. The record is from RNAcentral.
UCAGAUCCUUGCAAUACAUUAACCUUAAAGUCUCAAUAUAAACUUCGACAUCAUCGCAAUCGGCAAUCUCCACCACAUACGGCACCGACGAACGCUGCUGCUUGGCCCACCGAUCCGAUAAUUUCACAGCGAAAAACCUGCUGUGAGCCACCAGGAUCUGUCUGUGGACGCUCAUUGACAAGCUAAUUCCAUCUUUGGAACUCAAUGUCAGCUUAACAUCACUAGUCGACGCAUCAUUGAACUGGUUACCAGGGCUCC